GUACACGCUGUGACUAGCAUAUCAAUAAGCGGAGGAAAAGAAACUAACAAGGAUUCCCCUAGUAACGGCGAGUGAAGCGGGAAGAGCUCAAAUUUGAGAUCUUAAAGGGUUUCCCUUUACGAAUUGUAGUUUAAAGAAGUGUUUUCUGUUGAGGUUUUGGUAAAAGUUCUUUGGAAUAGGACAUCAUAGAGGGUGAGAAUCCCGUAUUUGACCUUUACUUUCAACUUUGUGAUACACUUUCAAAGAGUCGGAUUGUUUGGGAAUGCAGUCCAAAAUGGGUGGUAAAUUUCAUCUAAAGCUAAAUAUUGGCGAGAGACCGAUAGCGAACAAGUACCGUGAGGGAAAGAUGAAAAGAACUUUGAAAAGAGAGUUAAACAGUACGUGAAAUUGUCAAAAGGGAAGCGUUUGACACCAGUGUUGUUUUUCUGAAAAUCAAUUAAAGAACUGUUUAUGCUAAGUUGUUUAGACUUUAUCAGGCUAACUGUUUAGUUUUGAGCUUUUCUUUAAUGCACUUUUCAGUUAACAAGUCAACAUCAAUUUCUUUUGCUGUAAAUAAGCUUGAGGAAGGUGGCUUGAGAUUCGUCUUAAGUGUUUAUAGCCUCUUGCCUAUGCAGUCGGAGAGAUUGAGGUCUGCAGCGUAGAUCCUUCGGGGCUAAAUGCAUUUGUGCUAAGUUAUAGCAUUUUAUAGACAACUUGUUGACUAUGAUUUGUCUUGUAGCUUACUCGCUUAUGUUAUUUUACCUACGCUUAGGAUGUUGAGUCGUAGAGCACGCAG
RNAcentral lists this ribosomal RNA (775 nucleotides) under uncultured Neocallimastigales. RNAcentral describes it as "partial large subunit ribosomal RNA". It matches the Rfam family "Eukaryotic large subunit ribosomal RNA", at positions 22 to 628 of the family's 3401-position model. The record is from RNAcentral. Lineage: Eukaryota; Fungi; Neocallimastigomycota; Neocallimastigomycetes; Neocallimastigales.